This 253-nucleotide ribosomal RNA is filed under the name uncultured bacterium. Its description in RNAcentral is "partial 16S ribosomal RNA". It matches the Rfam family "Bacterial small subunit ribosomal RNA", at positions 524 to 776 of the family's 1533-position model. The record is from RNAcentral.
UACGGAGGGUGCAAGCGUUGUUCGGAAUCACUGGGCGUAAAGGGCGCGCAGGCGGUUUGAUCAGUCAGAUGUGAAAGUCCACGGCUUAACCGUGGAAGUGCAUUUGAAACUGUCAGACUUGAGUACCAGAGGGGAAAGUGGAAUUCCCGGUGUAGAGGUGAAAUUCGUAGAUAUCGGGAGGAAUACCGGUGGCGAAGGCGACUUUCUGGCUGAGUACUGACGCUGAGGCGCGAAAGCGUGGGGAGCAAACAGG